Molecule: ribosomal RNA, 253 nt
Filed under: uncultured bacterium
Lineage: Bacteria
Description: partial 16S ribosomal RNA
Rfam family: Bacterial small subunit ribosomal RNA
Source: RNAcentral
UACGAAGGGGGCAAGCGUUGUUCGGAUUUACUGGGCGUAAAGGGCGCGCAGGCGGCUCGCCAAGUCAGAUGUGAAAGCCCCGGGCUCAACCUGGGAACUGCAUUUGAGACUGGAUGGCUUGAGAUUGGGAGAGGGAUGCGGAAUUCCAGGUGUAGCGGUGAAAUGCGUAGAUAUCUGGAGGAACACCGGUGACGAAGGCGGCAUCCUGGACCAACACUGACACUGAGGAGCGAAAGCCAGGGGAGCAAACGGG